Pseudopipra pipra is the source of this 1197-nucleotide long non-coding RNA. RefSeq lists it as uncharacterized. Lineage: Eukaryota; Metazoa; Chordata; Aves; Passeriformes; Pipridae. The transcript is spliced from 3 exons. The record is from RefSeq and is a predicted model, not a curated record.
UAUUGAUCUGCUGGAGCUAUGUGUUCUUUGUUCUAAUUUACGUUCUACUGUAAAGGCUCUCCAGCUCAUCAUCACAGUACAGCUGAUUGGUUACAGUCUCAUUACUGGACACAAGAGGGAAGUGCAGAUGGUGAAUGAAAUGGCCAACAAAUGAUGUAAAGGGUAAUAUGAAAGCUGAUGUAAAAUGCAACCUAGAAGUUUAAAGGCAAUAAAACAUAAAAUAGGAAUACAAACAAGUUUACUGAUGACACAAAGCUGAGAGGAGUGGCUGAUAUCCCAGAGUGUUGUUCAGCCCUUCAGAAGGACUUCAGCAGGUUGAAGAGAUGGGCAGAAAUUUAACAAAGGCAAAUGCAGGUCCUACAACUUGGGAAGAAUAACCCCAGGCACCAGCACGGGCUGGGGGUUGACCUGCUGGAAAGCAGCUCUGCAGAGAAGGACCUGGGGGUCCUGAACAAGCUGUCCAUGAGCCAGCAGUGUGCCCUGGUGGCCAAGAAAGUCAAUGGUAUCUUGGACUGUAUUAGGAAGAGCAUUGCCAGGAGGUCAAGGGAGGUGAUUCUGCCCCUCUGCUCAGCCCUCCUGAGGCCAUAUCUGGAGUGCUGUGUCCAGUUUUGGGUUCCUCAGUACAAGAGAGACAGGGAGAUCCUGGAGCAGGUCCAGUGGAGGGCAACAAAGAUGUUUAAGGGACUGGAGCAUCUGUCUUGUGAGUAAAGGCUGAGGGAGCUGGGCCUGUUCAGCUUCGAGAAGAGAUAACUGAGAGGGGAUGUCAUGAAUAUCUACAAGUAUCUGAAGGGACGAUGUCAAGAGAAUGGAUCCAGGCUCUUGUCAGUGGUGCCAAGAAAUGGGACGAGGGGAAGUGGGCAGAAAUAGAUGCACAGGAAGUUCUACCUAAAUAAGAGGAACAACUUUACUGUGUGAGUGACUGCGCACUGGAACAGAUUACCCAGAAAGGUUGUGGAGUCUCCCUCACUGGAGAUAUUCAAGAAUCAUCUGGACAGAAUCCUUUGCGAUGUGCUCUAGGAUGAUCCUGCUUGAGUAAGGAGGUUGGACCAGAUGACCUACUAUGGUCCCUUCCAACCUUACCCAUUCUGUGAUUCUGUGGAGUUCAGUGCUCCACACAAUGGAGGAGGCCAAGAUCCUCUGCAGACAGAAAUGCAUUAUGCAGCACAUAUAUACAACACAAUAUAGGUUAUAGAUUGU